CUACUAAAAACAGAUGCAUUCAGCGAGGCAGAAGAAGAUGGCUGGAAAGGAUCAGACCAAGACAGCAGCAGUGCAUGGCACCCCCAUCUUCCGAGCCGUCUAAACGAAACGCCAAGGAAGUAACAGCAUCUCGGAUCUCCAGAGAUUUAACGAGCCGCUUCGUGCAACUCGCCCACCGACCGCCUCUCCAUCACCAAGCAUCCCUUGUCGAGAUCACCUGCGCUCCGGGCGAGGAGGCGAGAACCAGGGAAUCGGUUACCUGAAGUGAGGCCUCUCUCGUGGCAACGUGGUUCUCUCUCGGGUCCUCCUCCGGGGGCCGGGGUGGGGGUCCAGCCGGGUCCAACCCUCGCUCUCCAGGGCCGGGGGGAGGGGAGGGGGCUGCCGGGGUUCCUCAACACCACGCUCUCUCCUCCCUGGUCCUCCGCCGGAGAGCCUCUCUCCUCCUCGGCCGAAGCCAGCGUCAAGCAACCAUGUAUUACUCCGCGACAACACGGGAAGCUCUCCUGCUUUUCAAAAUAAAUUACACGUUUUCUGACGUUGUGGCAUUUAAAUAAAAAAUAUUAUUUCAAUCAUUUACGUUAACAUAUUGAGCUUCAAGAAAUAAAUUGUGCGUUUACAAAGUGUAGCCAGAGCUGGGCUGACAUAAACAACAUCCAAGUUUGCUAGCACUAAGCAUUUCCAUUAGCAUUCACACUUGUUUAGUUAAUCCAUAAAUAACUCAAAC
Molecule: non-coding RNA, 724 nt
Organism: Doryrhamphus excisus (bluestripe pipefish)
Lineage: Eukaryota; Metazoa; Chordata; Actinopteri; Syngnathiformes; Syngnathidae
Source: RefSeq, a predicted model, not a curated record